Molecule: transfer RNA, 70 nt
Filed under: Otolemur garnettii (small-eared galago)
Lineage: Eukaryota; Metazoa; Chordata; Mammalia; Primates; Galagidae
Rfam family: tRNA
About the family: Transfer RNA (tRNA) molecules are approximately 80 nucleotides in length. Their secondary structure includes four short double-helical elements and three loops (D, anti-codon, and T loops). Further hydrogen bonds mediate the characteristic L-shaped molecular structure. tRNAs have two regions of fundamental functional importance: the anti-codon, which is responsible for specific mRNA codon recognition, and the 3' end, to which the tRNAs corresponding amino acid is attached (by aminoacyl-tRNA synthetases). tRNAs cope with the degeneracy of the genetic code in two manners: having more than one tRNA (with a specific anti-codon) for a particular amino acid; and 'wobble' base-pairing, i.e. permitting non-standard base-pairing at the 3rd anti-codon position.
Source: Rfam by way of RNAcentral
GGGCCUGUGGCUCAAAGGAGUAGGGUGCUGGCUCCAUAUGCCAGAGGUAGCAGGUUCAAUUCCAGGCCCA